Unclassified non-coding RNA from Lepidothrix coronata (blue-crowned manakin), 168 nucleotides. The record is from Ensembl. NCBI's taxonomy places the organism in Eukaryota, Metazoa, Chordata, Aves, Passeriformes, Pipridae.
UUGACAGCAUUAGAAAUUGAAGUUCCUUUUUUAUCUACAGAACAGGUACAGCAUGUACAGUCACCACAAACCCAGGCUGCUGAUAUGUCUUGGCUCUGUCCUGGGCUUAACAACCUGGAAGGAAGCGGGAAUAAGCUGUUCUUCAUGGCCCUUUUAGGUUGUGCUGUU